UCAGCGGAGAUCACUACAAGAGGAGCAAAUCUCAACUCUCCUACAAAAGAGUUACCGAAGAAUUGAACGCUCGAGGUGGUAUUUUUUUAGUUCAAUUUUAAAAGUGGAGUUUGAUACCAAUAAUAAACAGCAUAUUACGGCUUAAGAUAAAAAAUAGUAUAAGACAGUAAACAAAUCGAAUACUGGACUUCAAAUUAAAAGAUGAAUAUUUGAACGGAUAAAUCAUCACAGCUAGGGAGGCCCACAGAUAAUCGAUAGGAAACAAGGAAUUAGGAGAGAGCAUGGACUGAAAGACGGUCGUCAAAAUCGUCCACCCCUCUCGGCCAAUCCACCACCACUUUCUGCACCACCAGCGCAAUCAUCAAACAUCUGCUGCUGAGGCCAUAACUCUACUGACUGUUUUGUUUUGUUUACGUUUCAAUACACGUCUGGCCCGAUGGAUGUGACACGAGCGUGUUGCGUGUGUGUGCUUGUGGUGUGUUGUUUCCUGGGAUGUGUCGCUCAGGCGGAGGACGGAGAAGAUUUCCAGGAUAUGAUGAUCCAGAAGAGUGAACACAGCAUCGAGGUGGUAG
Molecule: long non-coding RNA, 572 nt
Organism: Physella acuta
Lineage: Eukaryota; Metazoa; Mollusca; Gastropoda; Physidae
Source: RefSeq, a predicted model, not a curated record